Molecule: ribosomal RNA, 393 nt
Filed under: uncultured bacterium
Lineage: Bacteria
Description: partial 16S ribosomal RNA
Rfam family: Bacterial small subunit ribosomal RNA
Source: RNAcentral
AUACGGAGGAUCCGAGCGUUAUCCGGAUUUAUUGGGUUUAAAGGGUGCGUAGGCGGCCUUUUAAGUCAGCGGUGAAAGUCUGUGGCUCAACCAUAGAAUUGCCGUUGAAACUGGGGGGCUUGAGUAUGUUUGAGGCAGGCGGAAUGCGUGGUGUAGCGGUGAAAUGCAUAGAUAUCACGCAGAACCCCGAUUGUGAAGGCAGCCUGCCAAGCCAUGACUGACGCUGAUGCACGAAAGCGUGGGGAUCAAACAGGAUUAGAUACCCUGGUAGUCCACGCAGUAAACGAUGAUCACUAGUUGUUUGCGAUACACUGUAAGCGGCACAGCGAAAGCGUUAAGUGAUCCACCUGGGGAGUACGCCGGCAACGGUGAAACUCAAAUGAAUUGACGGGG